CCCGUACAUUGGUGUCCUCUUGGGUGACCUUCCCGGCAGCCCUUGCUGGCUCUGCCCCAACCAAACAAAGACGGCAGGAGGUUUUCAAACAGCCGGUUCCCUGAAAGUUGGCUGCAGGAGAGCCGGGCUGUGCUGGCACCUGCCUGGUCCCGGCCACUGGAGAACGUGGCAGCGAGUUGGUGCCGUCGUCUGAGAGGACCCCAGUAGCCGUCGGGAGUCCCUGUACAGGACAGUGUUGUUUCCAGACGCAAGAGCAUGCUCUGCAGCGCCAGCAGUUCUCACAUGGAGUUUCUACAGUUCUGCUCGCUGUGACCUUCUGGGCCAUCAGGGAAACACAUCGUGUUCCUGCCAGCCUCGUGCGAUGAACCAUCACUUGCCAGGAUUCACACCAGGCUUCCUGGGACGCUGUGUUGCUGCUUGGAAUCCUGAUUACUUCUGGUUGCUUACUGUGCUGCUGGCAGGGUGGGAUUGAUGUCCAGUUUGGCACAUUGGGCAGAGCCAAGCCCAUAACCGUUCUCUGUGUCCUUGGCAGACUGGGGAACCAAGCUAGACCCCUCUCUCUAAAGGGGUUCCAGGUGAGCAAGGGACAGGCUUGGUGCUGUCCAUAUUUAUUCUGGUGGGAAAAGCCACCUCCUUCACCCUUUCCACCUGGGAACUGUGUAACUGCUGGGGAUGACACCACAUGGAUGCAGGGCCAGCAGCCUGGUAUCAAGGCACUAGCUGAGCUGAGCACUAUCACAGGGCACAGAGCUGCCUUGGGGGGUGCCAGCAUCCCCACCACGGCUGCACUCCAGGCAUGUAGGGCAUCUGGGCACAGGACGGGUCCUGUCAGCAAUGGGCCGUCUGGAUGACCAUGCCAAGAGGAGGAUUGUGGAGCUGCGCAGGGCUGGGCUGAGCUUCCGCAAGAUCAAGAAGGUGCUGGAGCUGGAUGACAUCCGGGUGACGCCGCAGGCCGUGUACCUCUUCCUCAAGAGGAAGAGCGUGGAACCAGGGUCAGUGGCAGCUGGCUGGGAUGGGGAUCAGCCCUGGCCCCCACUGCAGGGGCAUGAGGCUGAGCCCCCCAGGCUGCUGGGUACCCGGCACCCUGCACUGCCCACUGGGGAUCCUAUGGGCAGCCAGGUGCCCUGCUCUGCUGGCAGCCAGGACACCAAGGAAGGCAUCCAGAUUGUCGGUGUGGACUCGCUCUGCAAGGACGGUGGGCAGCUUGGGGACACUCUGCCUCUGGGGCUGGCCCCUGGGAAUGGUGAUGACAGCUCCACAGGCAAAGCCCUGACUCCAGGGACUGCUCUGGGGGGCCCGCCCCCCCUGCCCCAGAUACUGCCAGGCCAAGUGCAGCUGGUCACACCCCCGACCCAGAACUCAGCCUCGGUGGUGAAAAAGAAGACUCUGGACAGGGCUAUCCUCCUGCAGAAAAGGGUCAAAGAUGUCAGCACUCAGACUGCCUUGCCAAACCCUGUGGGUCCAGGACAUCGCAACCUUGCUUGGGGUGGACCUGUGCCCCCCACUGCUCCCAGCUUCCCCAGCAUCACUGAGAAGCUGGAUGCUGUACAGAGGGAGGUGCAGAAGCUGAGCCAGGCCCUGCAUACAGUGCUGGAGCGGCAGUGCAACCUGGAACGUCAGCAGGAGCACCAACAGCGGCUGCAACAGGAGGUGCUGAUGACACUGCAGCAGCUCAGCUCCACUGUGAGCCAUGGCUCUGUGCCAGCCACCCAGCCCUGUGGCCCCUUCAGCAGUGUGGCCGAGCCCUUGCCCACCAUGCCGAACUUCAGCCAGUUCAAGAUGGAGCUGAUCUGAGCUCCUGCAAUGCCUGCAUGUGCCAGUGGUGUUGUGCUAAUGGCAGGAUGGAGCUGGGAGGAAGAACCAUCGGUCCCUGGUGCCUUGUGUUCCCAGUCCCGCUGACUGAAAGGGGCUACCUGGCACAAGAGGCUGAAUAGUGGAAGGCUGAGGCCUUGCUUCUCCUGUGCUUCAUCCUGGCUGCCACUGGAGCUGGCUGGGACCCAUAGACCUCAACAGAAGGCAGUUGCCUGCAAGAAGAUGCAGCUAAGACAGACACAGCAGGGAUGUGGAACUCCAAGGAUAAAGGAGGCUUCCUUCUCAUGAGGGUCAAUGAUGAUCUUGCCCUCCCCUCCACACAACCUUUUUCGGUAAAAAUCUCUCUGCGCCACAGUUCAGAACCAGUGUGGGAUCAGUAUCUACAUUUUCCCUACCCCUUACCUGGACAGUGAGCAGGCUUGGUCUGUCUGGGUUACUAUCACCAUAUGUGGAACUGCACAGGGUGCAGAAACCCAUGAGGUGAGACCAGUGCUCCACGCAUGAUGAUGUUGGAGCCUGGUAUAAGCUGCUGCACCAUUAGGGACAGAUCAGACUGUAGGAAACAAUCUUUUACUGAGCAGAUUCCACCCUCCUCACCCCACAAACUCAGCAGAUCUGUAGUGUGGUACUACUGUUGCCCACUGUCUGGUGAGAAAUGGGCAGGACCAUAACAGUAAGAGUUGCACCUGGGCAGGAGCGGACUAACUGGAUGUUCAACUCUCCUCUGACCCAUUUUCCUGGGCAGGACACCCUCCUGGUUGUGAUCUCCAGUUGCAAGAGCUGUCCCUAGAGCAAGCUGCUGGUGGUGCACAGCUGCUCUAGCAGAACAGUGCAUGAUGCUGAGAACCCCCUUGCCUAGACAAGAAGGGCACAGGGGAGGUUGAUGGGCCCUAACUGAGCAAUGGAGUCCAGAAGGACCAGAGACUGGCCUUACCUGCCAGGAGGAAAGGUCUGAUGGGGGUGGCCUUGGCUUAGCACCCAGCAAUGAAUCCUGAGAGGAGGCAGAGCAUGUGUCUUUCCUCCACAUCAGCCAAGCAGGCUUCUGUCUGAGUAGGCACCACACUUGGCACAACCUGUGCUUCUGAGAAGUCCCCAGCCUGUUUCUGAGGUCUCCUUGAGUCCAAGGUCAUAAUAAAGAAGAGUAAAAACCAAUUCA
RNAcentral lists this long non-coding RNA (2968 nucleotides) under Cyanistes caeruleus (blue tit). Its description in RNAcentral is "lncRNA (ENSCCEG00000020838.1)". Lineage: Eukaryota; Metazoa; Chordata; Aves; Passeriformes; Paridae. The record is from RNAcentral.